CGCGACUGAAAUGGAAGCCCUGCAGGCUUUCGAUACGGACGGUAUAGAGAGGUCUGGCGCUAAAGACCAAUAACGGGGCCUGGAAGUGGUGGCCUCUCACGGUGCCUCUCUUGCCACUGAACUAACAAGUAGCCCUCUGUGAAGGGAGAAGAGGAGCAGGAAAGUGCUUUCCUCACCCAUAAAUUGGAUUACAUUUCCAGAAUGAUUAACUCUUCCUCACCUCCCCGUGGCCUUGUGAUACAGUAUCGUUUUGAUGGUCAGCCUUUAUCAGCAUCUGGGCUUUUCAGUCUCGUUUCUGCACUGCUAUGACAUAGAGGCAGGUGUGAAAGGAGAGAGUUGCAAGGAAGUUGAGGUCUCAAUGAUUCAAAUUGAAUGUAUCAGACAGAAAAAAGACGAAAGACAUCAUAUCACGCUAGAGGAGAUCUGUUCUGACAGUGCCAAAUGGAAGCAGAAUGAUUCACGCCACGCAUGAGACAUACCAAAUAUUGAUCCUCCACUCCUCAUAAGAAACAUUAUAUCUGCUGAACUAGCAGAAGUGGGCAGCCUUGACCAUGAAAACAGCAGUACUCCACAGAAUAAAUCUAAAUUCCACUGGAGGUACAAGGCAGUCUUCAGAGACCACAGAUUAACCAUUGCACAGCCUGGAGGAGAAGUGAAAAACUGACAAAGGACCAGCUUUUUUGCUGGAUUUUCUAACAUUCUUGUCCAUAUCAAAAAAUGGAAAGAAAGCUUUUACAAGUUCCCAUAUAAUGAAGACAACUUAAGAAGCAUACAAACAAUUUUUAGAAGAUAGCCAGAAAGCAUUAACAGAUGAGUUAGCAGCUAGCUAAGUAUUUAGAUUGCACGUUUCACAUUUAUCACAAGAUACCCCUCUUUCCAGACAGAGGUCUCUGUUAUGGACUGAGACAAACAGUAGCUAAUUAUUCCUUUGUGUAUAUAUAUGUAUUCUUUGAAGAGAGCAACUGAGCCAAGUGGGCCUCUGUGCAGGGAAAAGGACAUGGCACUUUCAUUUGAGAGCUACUGAAUGUGCUCAUGGGUGGGGAGAAGCAAACAUCAAGGGGAUAGGAGCACACAGUUCAGGCUCAGCAAAUGGCGGAGAGCAGCAGGAGAAGCUAGAAUGAAGCCCCAGUGGCAAUGGAAACCACUCACUAGGCAUCAGAGUGAACUUGCAGUCUGCUUCAACCCCAAAAGCCACAAAGUUGACUGAAACCAAAACUGGGAGCAAGGACAAAGUGAGCAGCAGGAGAGUUGUUUAUGAACUGGUCCCCAUGUCUAGUCUGUCUUUUCUCUCACUUGUCUCUUAAGAAGUUUGUCAGAUGUAGGCCUUUAAAGGGAACAUGAGGUUUGAGUUUGAAAGCUCUUUGGGGGAAGGGGUCUGAAUAGACCUACCUCAAAAGCUUUGGUCAGCCCAGAGUAAGCUUUUGUUUUGUUUUAGAGGUGUUUUGGUGUUUCACUUAGUCAUGAUGAGAAAAUACCCAGCUGCUAUUUGCAGCAUAUUAGUGGUGCCUUCACCAACCCUUACUUCUUAAAGGGGACCAAGUAACAAACAUCACAUGCUACGCACAAGGACAUCAUCCUGAACUCAGACAGUGAUGAUCAGAGAAGCACUUCCCUCACACUUGGAUGUAAGUCAGCAUGAGGCUCUGGUGAGGAAUAUUUCAUCAUAACCUUCUGUCUUUCCCCAUUUCUCCCAUCUUCCAUCCAAACCAGAAACUGCUGAUCAAAGUCUCCAUCCACAACCUCCUGCAAUGCAUGCUAUGAGUGCCAGGCUGAAUUAUUUUACAAUCACCUGCAAUUACCAGUUACAUCUGUACAAUAGGUCUGUACAAUACAAUAGGUCUGUUUUCCCCUGUAUGUCCAAUGCACUAUCAUGCAUCAUCUGCCCACAAAUUGUGCUGCACCAGCCACUGUUGUUUUGCUGUCCUCUCUGGCAGCCUGUAACACAAGGAGGGUUAAAAAAAACAUGAGGAAGCCAUUAGGAGUUGGGAGCAGUUGCCCAACAUUACAAAGGAGGGAGGAAAAAAAAAAGAUCUGAGGAAACAAAGGAACCACGCACGAGCAACUUUCCUUUUGGUCAACAUCUGCAGGCAGUCUGCAGUUACUCCUGCUUUCAAGGCAUACUACACCAGCCCUCCAGAACAGCACAAUAUAUGCAUUCGCUUUAGCACCGUCACAUUAAUUUAAGCAUGUCAACUAUUAAAAAAAGGCUAUGAGAGCAUAGCUGCUCAGAUGGAACACACAGUACUCUGAAAAAGAAAAACCAAGAGGAACAACAGUACCGCACUAUCUAAUGAUCAAGGGAAACAGUUGUCUCCAGCUUCUAAUUAUAAUGCUAUGCAAAGCAACUUGAAGUAAAUAUAUUGGUGUUUAUUUUCUAUUCAGCUUCCCAGA
Struthio camelus australis is the source of this 2391-nucleotide non-coding RNA. The record is from RefSeq and is a predicted model, not a curated record. Lineage: Eukaryota; Metazoa; Chordata; Aves; Struthioniformes; Struthionidae.